CAGUAGCCGCGGGAAUACGAAGGGUGCAAGCGUUACUCGGAAUUACUGGGCGUAAAACGUGCGUAGGUGGUGGUUUAAGUCCGUUGUGAAAGCCCUGGGCUCAACCUGGGAAUUGCAGUGGAUACUGGGUCACUAGAGUGUGGUAGAGGAUAGUGGAAUUUCCGGUGUAGCAGUGAAAUGCGUAGAGAUCGGAAGGAACAUCUGUGGCGAAGGCGACUAUCUGGGCCAACACUGACACUGAGGCACGAAAGCGUGGGGAGCAAACAGGAUUAGAUACCCCAGUAGUCCCUGUCUCUUAACC
This 301-nucleotide ribosomal RNA is filed under the name uncultured bacterium. RNAcentral describes it as "partial 16S ribosomal RNA". It matches the Rfam family "Bacterial small subunit ribosomal RNA", at positions 509 to 808 of the family's 1533-position model. The record is from RNAcentral.